AAGGGGUAGAUCUUGAUAGUGAUUUUCUUCAUAUUGCCAUAAAAUAUUGGGACCCUAACACUCAUUGUUUUAAACUAGGCAAUGAUAAAAUUAGCCCCUGCGAGAAGAUCUUUGUGCUAUUUUUGAUUUUCCCUCUUUAGAUCUUGCAGUAAUCCCCACAAUGUGUUAAUAUUUCUAUAUGCUAAUAAAAAUUUCAUCUAAAAAAUUUGAAUUUUCAGAUUUUGAUAUCUCUUAAUACUCUUCCACGCUCUAGGAGUUUCUUUCAUUGUAGAACCCUAACUUUGUUUCAUCAUCUUUAUGUCUUAACUCCCUCUCUGUCUUCGUCUAACUCUUCCACUGAAACGACUCUUGAGCUCUUUCUCGUCCAUUGUAAAAGCUUCAAAGUUUUCUCUUUCAAUUCCCUCCCAUUUUCGCAUCUCCUGCUCUUCCUCCCAGCUUUCCCUCUCCGUUUUUGCAUCUCCCUCUCGUUUUCGCAAUUCCUUCUGCACUCCAUUGAUGCAGCUCGCUCUCUUUCAAUUAUUGAAGUUUUCAGCGAGAUUUUUCAACCAGUGAAGUUUAAAUUCUUGCAAUUUUUAUAAAUGAACCUUGAAGAUCUAAAUUCUUCAAAUCGAAGUUUGUGGCACCACCAAUCUGAUAUGUGAAAUUUAUUUACUUCGUAUCUCAGUUUUUUGGGGGUUACUCUGGGUUUUGGUUUGGUGAGACAAUUACUACAAUAAUCAUCGCCUUAAUUUUUGUGGUUAUGACAAUUCUUGCAUCUUUUUUAUACCUGCUGUGUUCUCAUGUUCGUAAAGCCUUUCCGAUUUUCUGGUCCAUAUGGUAGUCCAUUACGAACAAUAAAACAUUGCCUUUUUUUUUUUCUCAAAAAUCAGAAGAACCAAAAUGGAGAAUACGGUUGUCAGGCACCUUCGCCAUCGAAACAUAUGUCUGGUCGACAUGUUGUUUGGAUCGCACUUCUACGACGACAUGUUGUUUGGAUCGCACUUCUACGACAUUGUUACAAAAAUACUCGGGUUGUUUUAUGGGGAUAUGGACCUUUAUUAUGAGAAAUCACAUAGGAAGUGGGGUAGAUUCAACUUUUUUCGUUUAAUUUCAAGAUGCGGAUUAAUGGAUCGCUAGAUACCGCUACUGAAUUAGCACUAGUUGAUCAAUAUACAAAUCUUGCACAUUUAUUCUUUAUGAGAGGUGGUUCUAAGUCUACGAAUGACACGGAGAAGGAAAAGAUACCCGAAGAAACGACACCUACACCUGAUGUUAAAUAUCGAAAUUUGCGGCAGCUCGUAAAGAAGCGCCAAAAGAUUGGAGCACGCAAUGAAGAUAAGAGAGAGGCCGAAACAUGUAAGGCUGGUGUGACACAUAAAGAAGCAUCGUUGAACGACGUCAUAUUACCAUCGGGUGUCUUUUCCUUCUCCGUGUCAUUCGUAGACUUAGAACCACCUCUCAUAAAGAAUAAAUGUGCAAGAUUUGUAUAUUGAUCAACUAGUGCUAAUUCAGUAGCGGUAUCUAGCGAUCCAUUAAUCCGCAUCUUGAAAUUAAACGAAAAAAGUUGAAUCUACCCACUUCCUAUGUGAUUUCUCAUAAUAAAGGUCCAUAUCCCCAUAAAACAACCCGAGUAUUUUUGUAACAAUGUCGUAGAAGUGCGAUCCAAACAACAUGUCGACCAGACAUAUGUUUCGAUGGCGACGGUGCCUGACAACCGUAUUCUCCAUUUUGGUUCUUCUGAUUUUUGAGAAAAAAAACAGGCAAUGUUUUAUUGUUCGUAAUGGACUACCAUAUGGACCUGAAAAUCGGAAAAGUGUAUAAAGAACCAAGUAAUGUUACUGCAAUCAAGUGUCUGGCUAAGGUGUCUAAGAGACCAACGGCGAGUGCUCUCUUGAAGCACCCUUUUAAUGAGAAGGUUCAGUCCUGUAUUUUCCCUGAUGCAAUGAAACUACUGUAUGAUCUUCAACUGAGGCAAUUCAUUGAAAGGUGCGUUAAGCCUCUAAAUGAGAGACCCGCCGCAAGUGAAUUCUUGAAGCACCCGUGUCUUUCAACUAAUGAUGAGGGCGGUGUGGAAGCCAAGACUACAGGCCAAAUCCAAGCUGGUUGGGGUCCUUAAGGAAGCUGUCAUCAACUCGCAAAGCAGACCUGAGGCUCGAUUGGAUUCAAUUCAAUUCUUUAGUAUGAAAUUAAGACUUUUCUUGAAUUUUCUGUAGUACAAAUAUGUCUUUGAUUCAAGGUAUAUUACGAAGUAGUAAUAGUAGUUAGUGUUUACAUAAUAAAGUGUAUGAAAAAUGUUGAGAAUCUAGACUUCUAGUCAUACAUGUCAGGGUGUGUAGGAGGGGUGGGGGUGCUUGAUUCAGCUUUCUUGUUUGUAAUUUGAUUUUACUAGUUUGAUUUGAAUAAAAUUAGAACAUUGUUGCUUAGUCAGUUAA
This is a long non-coding RNA of Chenopodium quinoa (quinoa), 2411 nucleotides long. RefSeq lists it as uncharacterized. The transcript has 2 exons. Lineage: Eukaryota; Viridiplantae; Streptophyta; Magnoliopsida; Caryophyllales; Amaranthaceae. The record is from RefSeq and is a predicted model, not a curated record.